This 434-nucleotide ribosomal RNA is filed under the name Faecalicoccus pleomorphus. RNAcentral's name for it is "bacterial SSU rRNA". It matches the Rfam family "Bacterial small subunit ribosomal RNA", at positions 904 to 1342 of the family's 1533-position model. The record is from RNAcentral. Lineage: Bacteria; Bacillati; Bacillota; Erysipelotrichia; Erysipelotrichales; Erysipelotrichaceae.
CAAGGAAUUGACGGGGGCCCGCACAAGCGGUGGAGUAUGUGGUUUAAUUCGAAGCAACGCGAAGAACCUUACCAGGCCUUGACAUCCCCGGCGAAGACAUGGAGACAUGUUGGAGGUUAUCCGGGAGACAGGUGGUGCAUGGUUGUCGUCAGCUCGUGUCGUGAGAUGUUGGGUUAAGUCCCGCAACGAGCGCAACCCUUGUGAUAUGUUACUAACAGUAAGAUGAGGACUCAUAUCAGACUGCCGGUGACAAACCGGAGGAAGGUGGGGAUGACGUCAAAUCAUCAUGCCCCUUAUGGCCUGGGCUACACACGUACUACAAUGGCGGCUACAAAGAGCGGCGAACCCGCGAGGGGGAGCGAAUCUCAUAAAGGUCGUCUCAGUUCGGAUUGAAGUCUGCAACCCGACUUCAUGAAGUUGGAAUCGCUAGUAAU